UAUUCUGUUCUUUUCUUCUGUUCUUCAUGUCUUUCUCCCUGUUGAACUCAAAUCCAAUGAAUAGUUUUUUUUUAUUUUUUUAUGAGGGAUUCAUGUAAAUCUACAGAGCUAGAUAAAUCGAAGAAGAGGGUGAUGAAUCUGGAAGCUAAUUGAUCUCUGAAAGAAGAAGAAAUCAGAAGAAAUAAAAAUUAGGGUUUCUGCUAGAAUUCAAUAAGUUCUAUUUGGAAGAGGAGUUCGAUUUAGAACAUGCAGAUGGAGAUUAGAGAUGGGUAUUAUGUGUUGAGAGUAAGGGAGGAGAUUUAGCUACUGAUUCUUAACUCACAUGGAAGAUUCAGUGAAUUAGGGUUUUAUGAGAACCAGUGAUGGAGAAGGGAUUAAGUUUGAGUCUGGGGUUGUUUUGGGUUCGAUGUUCUGCUGUAAUUGGGGAUUUCUUGGUUCGAUUCAAAUCAGUGGAAGAACCAUUGAUUUAUGGGUUCGAUUCAAGUUGACUCACAUUUGAGGUUUCUAUUGAAUCACCACCAAGCUUGCGAAGAUUCAAGUAGACGCUAUCACCAUCACCUCCAUAAUGUAGUUGUAUAAAAGUUAAUCAGUCAGGGAUAGGAGUGGAGGCUUGAUGAGGUUCUUUGAUAAAGCAACAACGGAAUAUAGGCACUUGACUUUUGACUUGCUGAGAUUGUUGCUGAAAUCACUAAUGGAUACUAAACCAUAGUCAUUGUACUCUUCACUUAUCUUUAUUGCACUCAGGGAUAGGAGUGAAGGCUUGAUGAGGUUCUUUGAUAAAGCAACAGCGGAAUAUAGGCACAACUGUGUUGAAGAAAGCCACCAACUCAGAUAUGUUUGUCGCGUCUGAAUGAUGCAAACCGACUUGGAUAAAGUAGAGAUGCAAAAAACAAUGGUGCUUAAUGGCGCUAAUUAAGUUUCUCUCAGGUUUUGUCUUGAUACUGUCGAGAUGAAGAAUGGGCCAUGGUCGUUCGCUGGAAUAUGUGAGUUUUAACACAUAAAGAUUUGAUUGCGUUGGUAAUAUUUUUGUGUGCAUCCAUCAUUUCGCAUUUGUUCUUGGUUGGGUUAUCUUAUCAGAUCGAAUGCGCAUGUGUUUAAACUUUCACCAUGUUCUUUUUGUUGGAAUUGGUUCUUAUGUUCCCUUUUCUAUCUGUUUGUAAGAGUGUCACCAAGGAUAUACUGUCUUGGAUAUAUAUGGACAGACUGCUGGACUCAAUUAUAAACUCUAUAAAAAUUACCAUUUGAAGGGUACUAUUUGAGUUCCGUGUAGUAUGUGGGGUACUAAAGAACACAAUUAAUUUCGUCUAGAAGUAUUUUUUUUAUUAAUUUUUGGCUCGCCUUUACCAUGUAAUCCUUUAUAGUUUCAGGGGGAUUUCCUCCAAUCGGUCAAGGUUGAUGACUGUUACUGGAGCAUAGGUACACCACUAUUUCAUGGAUCCAAAACUUACAUAAUGUGAAACUAAGUUUAUGACAGACUGAUAUUUGGUUUUUUGGCUUUUUUGCAUAGGAUUCAAAGUAAGUUCAUGUCAUUACGGAAUAUCAUUAGCAGGUCUUCAAAGUUAAAUUAAGUAUCUUUGAAAACGGUCAUGUAACAGGGUAACGACAUAUUGAGCAACAAAUGAGACAGAUGUUGAAAUUCUGCCUAUACCAUGUCUUAAGAGAGACUUUGAGACGGACAAAAAGAAAUGAGCUUGAGAUUAGAACUACUCUGCCAUUAUAGAUUUACGAUUUUGGAAGUGAGAAGCAUUCUAGCAAUAUUAUAUGGAAAAAUGUGGGCAUAAUGAAUCCCGAAAGCUCCUCUGGACAAAGUCCUGGUACGAAUGUUUCCAAACCUAAAAAAGGUUCAGCAGCUGCUGUUUUCGGAUUGGGCAUUGUCAGCUUUAGUGUAAGUAACUUGCUCUUUUGUAUGAUGGUACACAAAGUUAACUUGAUUCUUCAGUCGCCUAUUUAAACAGCUUAAGCAAUUCAGCGAACAGAUGCAGGCUUGGGAAGGCUUGGGAAUCUUCUAGGAAUCAGGGUAAUCAGAAACAUUUUUCCACCUAUUAAUCUUAGUUGAAAGUUUUAGAUUUCCAGACUUGAUUUGUGCUUCAGUUAAUGGUACAUAAAGAUUUAUAAUUUGUAUGCAGCUUACUUAAAAUGAUUGAAGUGUCAAAUGAGAUUUGUUUAUGUAUGGCUUUGGAAUUAAUGACAGUUGCAGGACAAUAUU
Papaver somniferum (opium poppy) is the source of this 2206-nucleotide long non-coding RNA. RefSeq lists it as uncharacterized. The transcript has 6 exons. The record is from RefSeq and is a predicted model, not a curated record. NCBI's taxonomy places the organism in Eukaryota, Viridiplantae, Streptophyta, Magnoliopsida, Ranunculales, Papaveraceae.